This is a long non-coding RNA of Anopheles funestus (African malaria mosquito), 1259 nucleotides long. RefSeq lists it as uncharacterized. The transcript has 5 exons. Lineage: Eukaryota; Metazoa; Arthropoda; Insecta; Diptera; Culicidae. The record is from RefSeq and is a predicted model, not a curated record.
AUCAUCAAGCCAAUUUGGCACAUUGUGCCGCGAAACAAGUGAAGGAAGCACCGUGAGUUAUACGACAAGAAAAACCACGCAUCGAGCCGGAAAAGUUCGCUAAGAUCGAUCGCCCCGGUUAUCAGGUGACGAAGCAGCACGAUCCGGAGAACGGCCAACAGUCCUUGUCUUCCAAAGCGACUAUCCGGAAUUUACGGACGGUAUUGUACCGCGGCAUCGGUUUAUGUUCGUUUACGUACCAUCAUCGAGAUGAUCGACCACCAGUUAAACACGAGAACACGAGCUUCCGCCAAUUUCCACCAUAAUACGCAUGGCGCUAGCAUCGGCGACAGCACGAACUGUCAGUGCUGUCAUCAAUGUCAAGCCAUUUUUCUCCAAGGGACGCGCUGGAUGGUUGUUGGCCAAAUAGUUCUACUGUUUUUCCGAUAAAUACAACGUUUGCAGCAUGGAUUACCAAAACCAUGCCGGUGACCACACCGGCGGCGUAGGCGAGAGCAAGUGGUACCGGCGUGAACGAUUGUGCCAGCCAGCGCUGGAAAAGAUCGAUUUGAACCUGGAUAAAACGAGGCAGCAUCUGACUCACAGUCAUGGCUAAAAUCAUCAAGCCAAUUUGGCACAUUGUGCCGCGAAACAAGUGAAGGAAGCACCGUGAGUUAUACGACAAGAAAAACCACGCAUCGAGCCGGAAAAGUUCGCUAAGAUCGAUCGCCCCGGUUAUCAGGUGACGAAGCAGCACGAUCCGGAGAACGGCCAACAGUCCUUGUCUUCCAAAGCGACUAUCCGGAAUUUACGGACGGUAUUGUACCGCGGCAUCGGUUUAUGUUCGUUUACGUACCAUCAUCGAGAUGAUCGACCACCAGUUAAACACGAGAACACGAGCUUCCGCCAAUUUCCACCAUAAUACGCAUGGCGCUAGCAUCGGCGACAGCACGAACUGUCAGUGCUGUCAUCAAUGUCAAGCCAUUUUUCUCCAAGGGACGCGCUGGAUGGUUGUUGGCCAAAUAGUUCUACUGUUUUUCCGAUAAAUACAACGUUUGCAGCAUGGAUUACCAAAACCAUGCCGGUGACAACACCGGCGGCGUAGGCGAGAGCAAGUGGUACCGGCGUGAACGAUUGCAUCAGCCAGCGCUGGAAACGAUCGAUCUCAACCAGGAUAUCUACUAAGAUCCAACGAAGGCAGCACCUGUCCCACACGCAGGUCGAAAAGCAUCAGGCCAAUCUGGCACGUCGUGCCGCGAAAGAAACAAAGGAAGCACCGU